GCCGUGGGCGCGGCAACUACGCAUCGGCGCCGGCAAGCUCCGAGAAGGCGAGGAGAGCUCUACGCGAGGUCCCUCGGUGGAGAACGACGACGCAUCCAUGAGCGAUGCAGGAGCUGAUUUGCAGAAUCGCGCUGAUUGGUCAAGAAUCUCUUGCCAGGGGCGACGCAAAGGGGAAUCCUGUGAUCAACCAGAAAUUGGACAUAAUGGCCAGGACUACGACCCUGGCUUCUGCUCUAAGCUCCCACGUUGUAGAUGCCCUGGUGUUUCUAUGGACGGUCUGCCAUUGCAGGAGCAUGAGUACAUGGAGAGUUUCCAAUAGAUUGAAUUGCCCAGGAUGGAGACUAUCCAAAAGAGGGAGGAAGCCCGCCGUACGAUGGACAAGGUGGUGCAGACCUCCACCCACGACCCAAGUGCAAGGGGAAGUAUUGCGGGGAUGUGCGUUUUUCAAUCAAUGACUGACAAAUCAGUCUAGGGCCUUCUGCAGUCCUCGGUUCAAAGCACCUCCACGAAGACCUGUUAUUUAGUAAUUCAGGUUGUGCUAGCUUUUGUAAUCUUAGUACAAAAAGAAGAGGCAAUAGUUGUAUCACCACAUACACAACUGCGAAAGGACCUAGCAUGUGUUCUUAGCAAAAAAAUGCAAUCAAUCCAAUGCUUCUACCUUUUUUCCAGAUAAGUUGCAUACAGAGACAACGUCACAUGGAGGAAGAAUCGGGCACACCUAAUAGCUGGGUUGAGAAAAUACCCUGAUUUGUCUACACCUCAUGGAGAAGUUACACAUGUGUUUCCUGCCUAGGAGAACAACCGCGUUGUAGGGAGGCAACCAAAGGACAGCAGUAAAUGUCAAUGUGAAUACUGCGCCACCAGCAUACUUUGGCAGCUGCACCAGACCAUUUAUCUUUGGACCUUGCUGAUAGCAAAUAGAGUAGAAAUAUAUUGUUCAUGUACUACUGGAUUUUUAUAACUUAUGGGAACACUUCAGUUACUUUUUCCAUGAUGCAGUACUUGUGGACAAUUCGAUCCCUGUGCUAGCAUGACGAUGUCAAUUAUUUCGAUUUAGUUAUGUAUGCUUCCUCAGUUUUGUGUUAUUGAAAGUGAAGUGGUUAAUUCAAAGUUUUCUAUCAGCAGACAUCCCUAUUAGUUUCUUCUAUAAACUAAGUUCCAGUGCCAUAAAACAUGUGUUAUUGAAAUACCUGCAGUUUGAGCAAGCCACUGCUACCUAGGCAAAGGUGCGGAUAUGUGGUCAUCUCUUACAGUUUUCUCAUCCUUCUCUGCAUACCUAUACUAUCCACCAGUUUAGGGAUCUAAAAAAAGUGACAUAUGGAGAUCAAUUGACUGUAGUGUGUUGUUAGUCCCCUCAUUACAUAGCAGUAGGACUGAAGAUAUGGUGCUCUGUUCUUGUAUGGUGCCAUAUUUAGUUAUGUACUUUUGUAAGGCUCAUAUGCAUCUGUUUUAGCCUUUGAACAGGGAAGUUGAACUUUUUAAUGAUCAGGCUAGAAGGUCCAAAGCCAAAUAGCAAAACUCCGAUUAUUUUUCAAUUGGUGAACUCCUGGAAUGAUUUUCUUACUGCUAAUUGAAUUCCCUUGCUGCAUAAAAUUAUUUGUAAAUAAAUAUUACUAAAAAUACUUUAAAAUGGGUAGCAUCGCUCACAAACUGUCUGACUAUUAGUACUGAAUUACACUGAUGUCACUUCACUAUUCUUGAUAUUGCUCCAUGUUGGUAGUGAUUUACUGAAUUGUGCACUGUCACUUAUGGUCACAUGAGACAUUAUGGCAUCUAUGUUACUUCAUGGAGUUAUAGGUGAACCGAGUGCCCUCAACUUAUACACUGGCAAUUAAUUUCUAGAUAAACAAAAGCAAAAUGUUUUUGUGCUCAAGUCUGCUUAACAUGGAUGCUUAUUUUCAUGGCUCUAUAAAAAUCAUACCCUGGUUUAGAUAUGUUUGGAUGACAUGUACAACAGUAUAAAUGAGUGUUAAAUGAUACGAGUCCCUUCACAUAUCUUCCGUGGCAAUGGGUUGAAGCACGUAAAGUACGCAAAGCUAUUGUCAAUAGAGCAAGGUCUUCAGGUUAUCGAUGACAUAUUUCAGAAAGCAAUUUAUCUUUGUGCAUCAUCUUACACUGCCAUGCUUAAUAUACAUGAGGCACCAGCUGGGUUAUUUUGUGACGAAGCAACGAGAUGUAGACGGAAAACGACUCAGGCGCCUCAUGGUUCCCUGUCUCUACUUUUUAUUUUGACUUUGCCCUUCGUACAACCAUAAGUUCAGAUUCAUUUGUUAAAGCUGGCUGCAAGUUGCAUCUAUAUUUGCCCCACUAAGCUGAACAAUUUAUGAGUGUUACUAAACAUCAUUUUCUCUAAUUUAUCCUGCACUUGUGUGUUUCAUAUAUCAGAUACGAGGGAUCUCCUCUCGCAUUGGCGGUGGCAGCUAAGGGCAUGCGAUGGUGGGAAGCUGGGCGGGCCUGAGCUCGAUGGCCAACGGCGGCUCUCCCCUCUCCUUCUUCUGUCUGCUACAUGCUUGCUAUCUAUUUUCCUAUCUCUAUCUCUAUUUGAUUUCUUUGUUGUGGUAGUAGUCUCGUAAAGUUGAUAAAUAACAGUAGCAAAGAUGUUCAUGGCAUGUGGCAUAUUUAUUUUCUGUUUUUUUAUUUAUCUAUGCAAACCUACAUGUUUCCGCAAAUUACACCUGAGGUUGAAGUAUGCAAUAUGUUAUUGAUUUCUUGAUGAAAUUAGAAAAAGCUACUUAACUUCUCAAAACAGAUAUAUGGAAUAAUAAUUCUUUAUUGAAGAUGUUCCAAGACAAUGAGAUUCAGGCUAAGACAAUGAGAUUCAGGCUGCACUAAAAGUUUCUGUUGAUUUGACAUCCACUUGCUAGCGAUCUUCCGUGACAAUCACAAUUCACCGUCACUGAUUUUUGCUUCUUCAAUACGUAAAGCGCUGU
This is a long non-coding RNA of Lolium rigidum, 2930 nucleotides long. RefSeq lists it as uncharacterized. NCBI's taxonomy places the organism in Eukaryota, Viridiplantae, Streptophyta, Magnoliopsida, Poales, Poaceae. The record is from RefSeq and is a predicted model, not a curated record. The transcript has 3 exons.